This 233-nucleotide ribosomal RNA is filed under the name uncultured bacterium. RNAcentral's name for it is "partial 16S ribosomal RNA". It matches the Rfam family "Bacterial small subunit ribosomal RNA", at positions 118 to 351 of the family's 1533-position model. The record is from RNAcentral.
UGAGUAACCUGCCCUUCUCAUCGGAAUAAGCGUUGGAAACGACGUCUAAUGCCGAAUAUGACCUCGGAAGGCAUCUUCUGAGGUGGAAAGCUCCGGCGGAGAAGGAUGAGCUCGCGGCCUAUCAGCUAGUUGGUGUGGGUAAUGGCCCACCAAGGCGACGACGGGUAGCCGGCCUGAGAGGGUGACCGGCCACACUGGGACUGAGACACGGCCCAGACUCCUACGGGAGGCAG